This 429-nucleotide non-coding RNA is filed under the name uncultured fungus. RNAcentral also lists the same sequence under 1 other name. Lineage: Eukaryota; Fungi. The record is from RNAcentral.
AGAGUUAAAUAGUACGUGAAAUUGUUGAAAGGGAAACGAUUGAAGUCAGUCAUGCUAGUGAAAAAUCAGUUUGACGGGUUUUGAGUUCGGGAGUAGAGGCAGGGUCAAACCGUUUCUCUUUUGGACUUGGGAUUUGUUAGAUGUACUUUUUCUUUGGCAGGUCAGCGUCGAUUUCGGAGGUUGUAAAAUACUUGGGGAAAAGUAGCUCUGCUUCGGGAGAGUAUUAUAGAUCCUGGGGGAUGCAGCCUGCGGGAUCGAGGAUUGCAGCAAAUGAAAAGUACGGCCCAUAGCCGUUUUGGCUUGUCGCCUGAUCUCUGGAUGUUACCUUGCUUGUGACAACAUUCUUGCCACCGGUGAGUACUAAUGCCCACUAGGUUAGAGCGAUCAAAAAUUUUGCUAAGGAUGCUGACGUAAUGGCUUUAAACGACC